This 107-nucleotide small nuclear RNA is filed under the name Panthera tigris altaica (Amur tiger). Lineage: Eukaryota; Metazoa; Chordata; Mammalia; Carnivora; Felidae. The record is from RNAcentral.
AUGCUCACUUCAGCAGCACAUAUACUAAAAUUCGAAUGAUACAGAGAAGAUUAGCAUGGCACAUGUGCAAGGAUGACAUGCAAAUCUGAAAAGAAAAUUUAUUAUUU